Molecule: long non-coding RNA, 1477 nt
Organism: Cyprinodon tularosa
Lineage: Eukaryota; Metazoa; Chordata; Actinopteri; Cyprinodontiformes; Cyprinodontidae
Exons: 5
Source: RefSeq, a predicted model, not a curated record
UCCCUUAGCAUGUUUUCCUCCCAUUGGCUCGGGGUCCCUUGCUGGCAGUGCUGCAGCUUUGCAGGUACCACAUUUAAGGGUGUUCUCUGUCUGCUGCAAGUCCCUGCAAACUGACAGGAGGGACCUGGAGUUAAAGAUCACAUGAGCAGCGUUGGAUAACAAAGUUUUGUCACAGUAAGGUGCAAAGAGCCUCUGUCAUGCAGGCAGGUCAUACAGCAGACACUAUGGUAUGAAGGAGCAGCUAAAAGACCUAGGCUCCUUUUUUCACAUCAGGCAGCCUUGGCUCUGACCAUAUAAAAGAAAAUGAAUCUUACCUGAAAGAUCCUUAAUGCUCCACUAGGGGGCCCCACAGUAGCUGGUAGAGGGGCUCCACGAUGAGAAGGUUGAAGGCUGGAUGGAGAUUUUCUGUUCAAGGACUCUACUAUCAUAUCAGGGACAUCCAUUUUAACGAUGCUGUGCUGAGAGUUGAAAUAGACCAUGGAGAGUGGCCGCCGCUCAGUGGGAAUGCAGCAUGAAGCCGUGCCUGUGUUGAUGCCAUUGACUUUAAGCUGGCUGAAGACAGUAGUGUGGAAUGAGGAUGCUAUGCCGGGCGAGCCAGCCAGAUGUGGGGGGCACUGACCCAUGCAGUAGUUCAUGUGGUAGCCUUCAGGUGCAAUGAUCCACUCAUCCCACUUGAUGUCCUUAAACCUGAUGUAGAAGUCUCUCUUGCAGCAGACCGUCACCUCAUCGCCACAGCGCAGUGAGCGUUUUCUGACUAAAUGCUUGGAGUGGUCAUCGCGCAGACGCACCUGGGCCACCAUGAAGGGCUGGUUUGCUCUGUCAACCGAGCCAUCUAAAGAGCAGAGGUUCCUUCCAUCCUCUAUACAGCUGACCUCAAGCCGGAGCCGUCUCUGACCUCCAUCCAAGAAAGUCUGUAGUGUGCGUGUUAUUGUGAAGGUGUGCCAGUUACUCUCUUUGACUUCCAGCAUCUUUUCUAUUACCAGGGUGCGAUUAGAGCCUGAGGUUCCUUCGUCUGCUGAGAGGAAGACCCGGGCAAGCAGGCGAGAGUUCCGGUAAGGAUCCUCAGAGGGUUGAGCGUAGAUCCACAGAGAGGACUGGAGGACUUGGAUGCUCUUGCCACGUUCCUGUAGAAACUGAAAGGUGCAGCUUGUCCAAAAGUUGCUGUUUUGCGAUCUCUAUCAUCAGCCUCUCCUCUGCCUCUUUCUCCAACGGUGGUAAGCCACAGGAUGCGCAGCCUGGGGAGCCGCACACCCAGAGACCCUUCUGCAGUAAAGUUGGCAGUAGUAGAAACAGUGAGAUGAGUGAAAAAGACGUCGUCAUCCUCCAGUGUGAAGCGAGGAUUUGCAUUUUCGAACUAAGUAAUUUGACUAAUAAAAAUCUUUUAAAAUCUAUUCUUUUAGUGCUUCUUUCCACUUGGUGUGGUCAGAUGCUCUUGCUGGAAACUCUGGUGCAGUGAAGAAAGACGCUGAAGAAGCAG